Vigna angularis (adzuki bean) is the source of this 1083-nucleotide long non-coding RNA. RefSeq lists it as uncharacterized. The record is from RefSeq and is a predicted model, not a curated record. Lineage: Eukaryota; Viridiplantae; Streptophyta; Magnoliopsida; Fabales; Fabaceae. The transcript is spliced from 3 exons.
UCUCCUGAACUUCAUUUCUCCUUCUCUCUAAAACUCUCAUGCCCUAAACUCUCUCUGCCUUCUCUCUAGAUGUCCAGCUCAAAGAACCGUAGGAAUUUGAUUUUUGUGUUGCCCAAGCAUCCGCAACGUAGAGAGCUCCAUUUCCACCGAUUGUUUUCUUCAUUCCGAUUGGUCCUGUUGAACUUGUUUCUGUGCGAGAGUUACUGUUUUGGGGCUUCUUCUAAAGUGUUGUGCUUAUAACCACCAAGGUAUGUUUGAUGGACGUAAUUCCAUGGACCUCACAGGGGGGUUACAUGGUGGUGCCCUAUGUUAUGGACGUAAUUCCAUGGACCUCAAAGGGAUGUUACAUGGUGGUGCCCUAUGUCAUUGAACGUAAUUCCAUGAUCCUCAAGGAGAGGAUACAUGGUGGUGCUCUGGUGGUGUGUAGAAUGAUUGCAUGGUAGCUCAUUCUUGGGGGUUUUCCUGACGCUCCAAUGGCCUUUCAUUCUCAAGUAGAGAGGAUUUAUCCAUGUGGUGAGGAGUAGCAGGAGGUCCUAGUCUUGGAGGCUUCCAGUAUGUUCCAGGGCGCGGAACGGACUAACCUCGUGAGUGUGGUAGGGUGGAACCCAUUGACAACGGCUUUGCAAAGCAGUAGAGGCCACCACGAGUGCAUAACCCGCCAUAGCUCGGUAAUCAUUCUAGUCCGGACGAGUCGGUUUAUAAAGUAACAAGUCUUGUGAUGUCAUUUUAUCAUGUUUCGAGUGACUUUUGCAUGUCGUGUGAGGUUGAAUAACAUGCUUUUUAUAUCUAGCUCACCCUUGCUUGUUUGUGUUGCUUGUGUAUGUUUCUUUUGUGAUGAUCAUCCACUUGGGUGGGAACAGAUGGCGAGGAGGUUCUUUUGGAGACGGCCUUGGAAGUUGAGGACAAUGCUGCUGCCUAGUCUCCUUAGGAUGUUAUCGAUUAUUGUCUGUAUUUUGAAAUACUGUUUCCCUUUAAGUUUACAAUUUAGAUCUUUUUGGAGUUGAAGUUCAAUUUCUGAAGUCAUUUUGAGGAUGACUGUAAUCCUUAAUUACUCUUGACUGCUUUCCUAUAUUAUGCAUGAUA